Molecule: ribosomal RNA, 480 nt
Filed under: uncultured bacterium
Lineage: Bacteria
Description: partial 16S ribosomal RNA
Rfam family: Bacterial small subunit ribosomal RNA
Source: RNAcentral
GACGAACGCUGGCGGCGUGCUUAACACAUGCAAGUCGAACGAUGAAGAAAAGAAUCGAAGCUUCGGCAGAAAUUCAUUUCGGAUUAGUGGCAGACGGGUGAGUAACGCGUGAGCAACCUACCUCUUACAAAGGGAUAGCCUCGGGAAACCGGGAUUAAUACCAUAUAACAUUGUGACGAAGCAUUUCGAUGCAAUCAAAGCUACGGCGGUAAGAGAUGGGCUCGCGUCCCAUUAACCGGAUGGUGAGGUAACGGCUCACCAUAGUGACGAUGGGUAACCGGCCUGAGAGGGUGAACGGUCACACUGGAACUGAAACACGGUCCAGACUCCUACGGGAGGCAGCAGUGGGGAAUAUUGCACAAUGGAGGGAACUCUGAUGCAGCGACGCCGCGUGAGUGAUGAAGGAAUUCGUUUCGUAAAACUCUGUUCUAUGGGAAGAAAAGGACUGUACCAUAGGAGAAAGCUCCGGCUAAAUACGUG